This is a non-coding RNA of Necator americanus (New World hookworm), 241 nucleotides long. The record is from Rfam. Lineage: Eukaryota; Metazoa; Nematoda; Chromadorea; Rhabditida; Ancylostomatidae.
GUUUUCCGGAAGAAGGCGUGGGGGGUGACCCACAGGUCCACGUGACCUCCAGUCCCCCGGGAAGGUCUGAGAUGAGGUCAUGCUCGGUUUCGGAUGAGCAUCGGGUCUGAGAAGGACCUCAUUCGUGAGAAUGAGAGGCUGUAACAGAAAUGUCCCCCGCGGGGUUUGAAAACAGUCUCGAUCGGCAGUGCCUGAGUGCGAUCGCCCAAUGUAACACAAUUCAGACUAGUCUUCGGAAAAC